AUUGUAUUCUCGAAACGUGAGGGAAAGAAAGCACCGAUGCUAAGUAUAUACUGGGAAGGCACAGGCACUGGCCUGAAGUGGAAGAAACUAAAUCAUAGCGUCCAAGAAAGCACUUGCAAUUACUGAAAUGGCGUUCAUGGCAAAUCAUGGCAUUCCUGAAGAUGGGAGACGUGAAAUGACCGUCGAGGAGCUCCAACGGUGGCUGAAGUCAUUUGAGACUGACAAAGAUGGCCGGAAAAGCAAAGAAAGAGCUCGCGGAUGCUAUCUGAGCCAAUGGAGGAUGGCUUGCAAGAUGGAAAGGUAAGAGAGGAUUACAGUCUGCAGAUUCCAAUGCCAAUGGAUUGUUGAUGAGAGUGAAAUCAAUAAUCAUGUAGAGCUUGCACAAGA
Molecule: unclassified non-coding RNA, 387 nt
Filed under: Hevea brasiliensis (rubber tree)
Lineage: Eukaryota; Viridiplantae; Streptophyta; Magnoliopsida; Malpighiales; Euphorbiaceae
Source: RNAcentral